GAUGAACGCUGGCGGCGUGCCUAAUACAUGCAAGUCGAGCGGAAGGACGAGAAGCUUGCUUCUCUGUUGUUAGCCGCGCACGGGUGUGUCACACGUGGAUAACCUCCUUAUAUUACUGGGAUAACUUCGGGACUCGGGCGCUAAUACCGUAUAAUCUUUUGCACCGCAUGGUUCGAUGGUGAAAGUCGGUGUUGCUGUCACUUAUAGAUGCUUCCGCGCUGCAUUAGCUAGUUGGUAGGGUAACGGCUUACCACGGCAACGAUGCAUAGCCGACGUGAGAGGGUGAUCGGCCACAUUGGAACUGAGACACGGUCCAGACUCCUACGGGAGGCAGCAGUAGGGAAUCUGCGGCAAUGGGCGGAAGCCUGACGGAGCGGCGCCGCGUGAGUGAUGAAGGUCUUCGGAUCGGAAAACUGUGUUAUGAGUGAAAAACAUAUGUGUAAGUAACUGUGCACAUCUUGACGGUACCGAAUCAGAAAGCCACGGCUAACUACGUG
This 497-nucleotide ribosomal RNA is filed under the name uncultured bacterium. RNAcentral's name for it is "partial 16S ribosomal RNA". It matches the Rfam family "Bacterial small subunit ribosomal RNA", at positions 28 to 507 of the family's 1533-position model. The record is from RNAcentral.